GGGUUGUGAGGUUAAGCGACUAAGCGUACACGGUGGAUGCCCUGGCAGUCAGAGGCGAUGAAGGACGUGCUAAUCUGCGAUAAGCGUCGGUAAGGUGAUAUGAACCGUUAUAACCGGCGAUUUCCGAAUGGGGAAACCCAGUGUGUUUCGACACACUAUCAUUAACUGAAUCCAUAGGUUAAUGAGGCGAACCGGGGGAACUGAAACAUCUAAGUACCCCGAGGAAAAGAAAUCAACCGAGAUUCCCCCAGUAGCGGCGAGCGAACGGGGAGCAGCCCAGAGUCUGAAUCAGUGUGUGUGUUAGUGGAAGCGUCUGGAAAGGCGCGCGAUACAGGGUGACAGCCCCGUACACAAAAAUGCACAUACUGUGAGCUCGAUGAGUAGGGCGGGACACGUGGUAUCCUGUCUGAAUAUGGGGGGACCAUCCUCCAAGGCUAAAUACUCCUGACUGACCGAUAGUGAACCAGUACCGUGAGGGAAAGGCGAAAAGAACCCCGGCGAGGGGAGUGAAAAAGAACCUGAAACCGUGUACGUACAAGCAGUGGGAGCACGCUUAGGCGUGUGACUGCGUACCUUUUGUAUAAUGGGUCAGCGACUUAUAUUCUGUAGCAAGGUUAACCGAAUAGGGGAGCCGAAGGGAAACCGAGUCUUAACUGGGCGUUAAGUUGCAGGGUAUAGACCCGAAACCCGGUGAUCUAGCCAUGGGCAGGUUGAAGGUUGGGUAACACUAACUGGAGGACCGAACCGACUAAUGUUGAAAAAUUAGCGGAUGACUUGUGGCUGGGGGUGAAAGGCCAAUCAAACCGGGAGAUAGCUGGUUCUCCCCGAAAGCUAUUUAGGUAGCGCCUCGUGAACUCAUCUCCGGGGGUAGAGCACUGUUUCGGCAAGGGGGUCAUCCCGACUUACCAACCCGAUGCAAACUGCGAAUACCGGAGAAUGUUAUCACGGGAGACACACGGCGGGUGCUAACGUCCGUCGUGAAGAGGGAAACAACCCAGACCGCCAGCUAAGGUCCCAAAGUCAUGGUUAAGUGGGAAACGAUGUGGGAAGGCCCAGACAGCCAGGAUGUUGGCUUAGAAGCAGCCAUCAUUUAAAGAAAGCGUAAUAGCUCACUGGUCGAGUCGGCCUGCGCGGAAGAUGUAACGGGGCUAAACCAUGCACCGAAGCUGCGGCAGCGACGCUUAUGCGUUGUUGGGUAGGGGAGCGUUCUGUAAGCCUGCGAAGGUGUGCUGUGAGGCAUGCUGGAGGUAUCAGAAGUGCGAAUGCUGACAUAAGUAACGAUAAAGCGGGUGAAAAGCCCGCUCGCCGGAAGACCAAGGGUUCCUGUCCAACGUUAAUCGGGGCAGGGUGAGUCGACCCCUAAGGCGAGGCCGAAAGGCGUAGUCGAUGGGAAACAGGUUAAUAUUCCUGUACUUGGUGUUACUGCGAAGGGGGGACGGAGAAGGCUAUGUUGGCCGGGCGACGGUUGUCCCGGUUUAAGCGUGUAGGCUGGUUUUCCAGGCAAAUCCGGAAAAUCAAGGCUGAGGCGUGAUGACGAGGCACUACGGUGCUGAAGCAACAAAUGCCCUGCUUCCAGGAAAAGCCUCUAAGCAUCAGGUAACAUCAAAUCGUACCCCAAACCGACACAGGUGGUCAGGUAGAGAAUACCAAGGCGCUUGAGAGAACUCGGGUGAAGGAACUAGGCAAAAUGGUGCCGUAACUUCGGGAGAAGGCACGCUGAUAUGUAGGUGAAGCGACUUGCUCGUGGAGCUGAAAUCAGUCGAAGAUACCAGCUGGCUGCAACUGUUUAUUAAAAACACAGCACUGUGCAAACACGAAAGUGGACGUAUACGGUGUGACGCCUGCCCGGUGCCGGAAGGUUAAUUGAUGGGGUCAGCGCAAGCGAAGCUCUUGAUCGAAGCCCCGGUAAACGGCGGCCGUAACUAUAACGGUCCUAAGGUAGCGAAAUUCCUUGUCGGGUAAGUUCCGACCUGCACGAAUGGCGUAAUGAUGGCCAGGCUGUCUCCACCCGAGACUCAGUGAAAUUGAACUCGCUGUGAAGAUGCAGUGUACCCGCGGCAAGACGGAAAGACCCCGUGAACCUUUACUAUAGCUUGACACUGAACAUUGAGCCUUGAUGUGUAGGAUAGGUGGGAGGCUUUGAAGUGUGGACGCCAGUCUGCAUGGAGCCGACCUUGAAAUACCACCCUUUAAUGUUUGAUGUUCUAACGUUGGCCCCUAAUCGGGGUUGCGGACAGUGUCUGGUGGGUAGUUUGACUGGGGCGGUCUCCUCCUAAAGAGUAACGGAGGAGCACGAAGGUUGGCUAAUCCUGGUCGGACAUCAGGAGGUUAGUGCAAUGGCAUAAGCCAGCUUGACUGCGAGCGUGACGGCGCGAGCAGGUGCGAAAGCAGGUCAUAGUGAUCCGGUGGUUCUGAAUGGAAGGGCCAUCGCUCAACGGAUAAAAGGUACUCCGGGGAUAACAGGCUGAUACCGCCCAAGAGUUCAUAUCGACGGCGGUGUUUGGCACCUCGAUGUCGGCUCAUCACAUCCUGGGGCUGAAGUAGGUCCCAAGGGUAUGGCUGUUCGCCAUUUAAAGUGGUACGCGAGCUGGGUUUAGAACGUCGUGAGACAGUUCGGUCCCUAUCUGCCGUGGGCGCUGGAGAACUGAGGGGGGCUGCUCCUAGUACGAGAGGACCGGAGUGGACGCAUCACUGGUGUUCGGGUUGUCAUGCCAAUGGCACUGCCCGGUAGCUAAAUGCGGAAGAGAUAAGUGCUGAAAGCAUCUAAGCACGAAACUUGCCCCGAGAUGAGUUCUCCCUGACUCCUUGAGAGUCCUGAAGGAACGUUGAAGACGACGACGUUGAUAGGCCGGGUGUGUAAGCGCAGCGAUGCGUUGAGCUAACCGGUACUAAUGAACCGUGAGGCUUAACCUUACAACGCCGAAG
Molecule: ribosomal RNA, 2925 nt
Filed under: Escherichia coli
Lineage: Bacteria; Pseudomonadati; Pseudomonadota; Gammaproteobacteria; Enterobacterales; Enterobacteriaceae
Description: bacterial LSU rRNA
Rfam family: Bacterial large subunit ribosomal RNA
Source: RNAcentral